Molecule: ribosomal RNA, 458 nt
Filed under: Pholiota sp. 2013071701
Lineage: Eukaryota; Fungi; Basidiomycota; Agaricomycetes; Agaricales; Strophariaceae
Description: eukaryotic LSU rRNA
Rfam family: 5.8S ribosomal RNA (bases 91-244)
Source: RNAcentral
CGGCUUGCCUUGGAUUUAUUGGCCUAUGUUUUCAUAUACACCAUAAUGUAAUAGAAUGUUAUUAAUGGGCUUUGCCUAUAAACUAUAUACAACUUUCAGCAACGGAUCUCUUGGCUCUCGCAUCGAUGAAGAACGCAGCGAAAUGCGAUAAGUAAUGUGAAUUGCAGAAUUCAGUGAAUCAUCGAAUCUUUGAACGCACCUUGCGCUCCUUGGUAUUCCGAGGAGCAUGCCUGUUUGAGUGUCAUUAAAUUCUCAACCUUAUUAGCUUUUGCUGGUAAUGGCUUGGACUUGGGGGUUAUUUGCUGGCUUCUUCAUGAGAUCAGCUCCCCUUAAAUGCAUUAGCUGGUUGUCUUUGACUUGUCUAUUGGUGUGAUAAUUAUCUACGCCGUGGGCUUGUCUGCUUAGCACCGCUUCUAACUGUCUGUUGACUCAGACACUUUAUGACAAUUUGACCUCAA